RNAcentral lists this ribosomal RNA (382 nucleotides) under Armadillidium vulgare (common pillbug). RNAcentral's name for it is "partial 16S ribosomal RNA". It matches the Rfam family "Bacterial large subunit ribosomal RNA", at positions 1854 to 2564 of the family's 2925-position model. Lineage: Eukaryota; Metazoa; Arthropoda; Malacostraca; Isopoda; Armadillidiidae. The record is from RNAcentral.
UUAGCCUGCUCCUGAUUUAAAGAGCCGCAGUAUCCUAACUGUGCUAAGGUAGCAUAAUCAUUAGUUACUUAAUUUGUAACUAGAAUGAACGGCCCGACAAAAGAAUAACUUUAUUAUUUUUUUUGUUAAAUUAAUCUAAGAAUAAAAAAGUUCUUAUAAAUUAGAAAGACGAUAAGACCCUAAAACCUUAUAUAUAAAUAUUUUACUGGGGUGGUAAUUUAUUCUCCAUAAGUUAAAAUAACAUUAUGAAUGAUAUUAUCUAUUUAAUUAAUUCAAAAAGGUACUUUAGGGAUAACAGCAUAAUUUUUAUUUAGAGUUCUUAUCGACAUAAGAGAUUAUGACCUCGAUGUUGAAUUGAUUUAACUAUUUUAGGCAGCCCUCA